This 428-nucleotide ribosomal RNA is filed under the name uncultured bacterium. Its description in RNAcentral is "bacterial SSU rRNA". It matches the Rfam family "Bacterial small subunit ribosomal RNA", at positions 28 to 457 of the family's 1533-position model. The record is from RNAcentral.
GAUGAACGCUGGCGGCGUGCCUAACACAUGCAAGUCGAACGUGAAGGGGUACUUGUAUCCCAGAAAGUGGCGAACGGGUGAGUAACACGUAGGUGACCUACCUCAAAGAAGGGGAUAACUACUGGAAACGGUGGCUAAUACCCUAUGGUUCUGACGAUUGUGGAGAUUGUCAGAUAAAUGCUCGGGCGCUUUGAGAGGGGCCUGCGUCCGAUUAGGUAGUUGGUGGGGUAAAGGCCUACCAAGCCGAUGAUCGGUAGCUGGUCUGAGAGGACGAUCAGCCACACUGGAACUGAGACACGGUCCAGACUCCUACGGGGGGCAGCAGUGAGGAAUAUUGCACAAUGGGGGCAACCCUGAUGCAGCAACGCCGCGUGGAGGAUGAAGGCCCUCGGGUCGUAAACUCCUUUUCUGGGGGAAGAGGAAGGACG